This 142-nucleotide small RNA is filed under the name Arabidopsis thaliana (thale cress). RNAcentral's name for it is "ATSL084400". The record is from RNAcentral. Lineage: Eukaryota; Viridiplantae; Streptophyta; Magnoliopsida; Brassicales; Brassicaceae.
AUGUCCAACAUUUUCAUCACCAUGCUGCUCAUAUGAUUCCACCAUUUUUCAAUGUUGAAAAUCACUAUCUUCUUGUUCUGAAUCUCGUAUAAAAUUAUGUAACGCCAUUGUUGAGGUUUCAAUCUUAACCCACUUCUUCAAC